UCACAAAAGUGAGCAAGGGAAAUAUUUAUAGCUCUAGGAUCGGCCUGUACGGUAUCAGCUAGUUGGUGAGGUAAUGGCUCACCAAGGCAAUGACACCUAACUGGUUUGAGAGGAUGAUCAGUCACACUGGAACUGAGACACGGUCCAGACUCCUACGGGAGGCAGCAGUGGGGGAUAUUGCACAAUGGACGAAAGUCUGAUGCAGCAACGCCGCGUGGAGGAUGACACAUUUCGGUGCGUAAACUCCUUUUAUAUAGGAAGAUAAUGACAGUACUAUAUGAAUAAGCACCGGCUAACUCCGUGCCAGCAGCCGCGGUAAUACGGAGGGUGCAAGCGUUACUCGGAAUUACUGGGCGUAAAGAGCGUGUAGGCGGGUAAAUAAGUUGGAAGUGAAAUCCUAUGGCUCAACCAUAGAACUGCUUCCAAAAACUGUUAACCUAGAAUGUGGGAGAGGUAGAUGGAAUUUCUGGUGUAGGGGUAAAAUCCGUAGAUAUCAGAAGGAAUACCGAUUGCGAAGGCGAUCUACUGGAACACUAUUGACGCUGAGACGCGAAAGCGUGGGGAGCAAACAGGAUUAGAUACCCUGGUAGUCCACGCCCUAAACGAUGUACACUAGUUGUUGUGAGGCUAGACCUUGCAGUAAUGCAGUUAACACAUUAAGUGUACCGCCUGGGGAGUACGGUCGCAAGAUUAAAACUCAAAGGAAUAGACGGGGACCCGCACAAGCGGUGGAGCAUGUGGUUUAAUUCGACAAUACGCGAAGAACCUUACCUGGUCUUGACAUAGAAAGAACUUUCCAGAGAUGGAUUGGUGCCUGCUUGCAGGAGCUUUCAUACAGGUGCUGCACGGCUGUCGUCAGCUCGUGUCGUGAGAUGUUGGGUUAAGUCCCGCAACGAGCGCAACCCUCGUCGUUAGUUGCUAACAGUUCGGCUGAGAACUCUAACGAGACUGCCUACGCAAGUAGGAGGAAGGUGAGGACGACGUCAAGUCAUCAUGGCCCUUACGACCAGGGCUACACACGUGCUACAAUGGGGUAUACAAAGAGCAGCGAUACGGUGACGUGGAGCGAAUCUCAAAAAUGCCUCCCAGUUCGGAUAGUAGUCUGCAACACGACUACUUGAAGUUGGAAUCGCUAGUAAUCGUAGAUCAGCUAUGCUACGGUGAAUACGUUCCCGGGUCUUGUACUCACCGCCCGUCACACCAUGGGAGUUGAAUUCAUUCGAAGCGGGGAUGCUAAAAUAGCUACCUUCCACA
Molecule: ribosomal RNA, 1254 nt
Filed under: metagenome
Description: bacterial SSU rRNA
Rfam family: Bacterial small subunit ribosomal RNA
Source: RNAcentral